AUUGAACGCUGGCGGCAUGCUUUACACAUGCAAGUCGAACGGCAGCACGGGUGCUUGCACCUGGUGGCGAGUGACGAACGGGUGAGUAAUGCAUCGGAACGUGCCCAUGAGUGGGGGAUAGCCCGGCGAAAGCCGGAUUAAUACCGCAUACGCCCUUAGGGGGAAAGCGGGGGAUCUUCGGACCUCGCGCUAUUGGAGCGGCCGAUGUCGGAUUAGCUAGUAGGUGAGGUAAAGGCUCACCUAGGCGACGAUCCGUAGCUGGUCUGAGAGGAUGAUCAGCCACACUGGGACUGAGACACGGCCCAGACUCCUACGGGAGGCAGCAGUGGGGAAUUUUGGACAAUGGGCGGCAAGCCUGAUCCAGCCAUGCCGCGUGAGUGAAGAAGGCC
Molecule: ribosomal RNA, 389 nt
Filed under: uncultured bacterium
Lineage: Bacteria
Description: bacterial SSU rRNA
Rfam family: Bacterial small subunit ribosomal RNA
Source: RNAcentral